Clostridium sp. is the source of this 106-nucleotide regulatory RNA element. It matches the Rfam family "PyrR binding site". Rfam says of the family: This family represents the PyrR binding site and terminator structure. The record is from Rfam. NCBI's taxonomy places the organism in Bacteria, Bacillati, Bacillota, Clostridia, Eubacteriales, Clostridiaceae.
AAGUCUUUUAAACUAGUCCAGAGAGGCUGGGAAAGAUAUCAUCAUAACAAAAAAUCGUUAUGAAAUAUUGAAUCCUUACACCUCUAUAGGUGUAAGGAUUUUUAUG